Long non-coding RNA from Vespula pensylvanica (western yellowjacket), 1317 nucleotides. RefSeq lists it as uncharacterized. The record is from RefSeq and is a predicted model, not a curated record. The transcript is spliced from 3 exons. Lineage: Eukaryota; Metazoa; Arthropoda; Insecta; Hymenoptera; Vespidae.
UCGAAAUUCUCUCUCAUACAGCCAAGCUUAAAUAAUUUUAUACUUGUGAUUAUUUUACGUUUGUUUAAAUAAACGUAUGGUGUACAUAGAAUAUAAUUAAUUAAUAUUUAAACAAUGGUAUAUAAAAUCGCGGAGUAGAAUCAGUGUUGAUCGCGAUAAGAAAUUCAUCUGCAGUUUUUUAUUUUCAUCUACCUCUUAUUAAUUUCACGAGAAUUCCAAGACGCAUUAUCGUGGUACUAUUCGGAUAAUUCGUUUGAAAGAAACGAUUGUUUAUUCAUUUUUCUUUAUGUAACAAUGAUUCUUUUUCUUUUCAAAGAAGAAGGAAAGUAAGCUCCUCGUUGGAAGUUCUUAAAAAGAAAAUCAAAGAACUCAUCGAUCCCAUGACUAUUGUGGUUGCUAUAAAAUAAGUGUGUUUUGAAGACAUCGCAGAACUUCUUUAAGUAAUGGACUAGUUCUACAGCAUAAACUACUUAAAAAAGAAAAAACGCUGGUAAUUUUACCAUCUUAUUAUUUAUUCUUAUUAAUUAUUAAUAUUAAUUUUAUUGUUUUAAGUUUCUUUGUUUCCACGCUCUUGUACGUUCUAUUGCACCUUCUGAGUUUCUUUUUUUUCCGGAAAAACUUUCGGGUGGAGGUUUCUUAAAAAUGAGCUUUUAUGAUUGGAAGAGGCUUUAUUAAAAGAGAUCUUUUAUAGUUAGAUGGAUUUUUUUUUCUUUCUCUUCUCUAGACUGAAUCUAUUCAUCGUUGAAGAGGGAGUUAUGAUUUCGCAUUGAUUUAGAUCUUUAUACGAAUGUUUUUGAAAUAUUUUCCCAUUGUAAAAAGAAGAAAAUGUCUUUUAUCCCGUGUAGAUAAGCUAGAAGAAGGGCAUUGUGGACGAAGUGUGGGCGGAAACUCGCGUGGGUGUUUACAGGCGCGAUUAAGCCCAAGCUUGGUCCCCAAUGUACUUAAGUAGAAUACUCGCGUGGGUGUGUCCAGGUCACUCGCGUGAGUAUUUGUGGGUAUGAUAGGAUCUAAUCUUGGACUCCGUCGUAAGUUGCAGAAUUGCUAAAAUACGAUCGAUCGUGCUUAAUAACUGAAGCUACUGAUGUUGGACGGUCUCGCUAUCUAUUAUCCAAGCUUAAAAUGUCUGCAGUUAGUAUCUGAAUUCUCGCGAAAUAACAGUGAUUUCAGUAUUUAAAUGUUAUUUUGAUGCUGCUUUGAUUGUAUAAUAGUAAUAAUAAUAAUAGUAUCUGUUACCUUUAUCUCAUCGGUCUUCAGAAGAAGUGACCUCUAUGUGCGAGAUUAAUAUAUAAAUAAUAAUAAAUGGAUGAUAUUAUUUUC